AUGGAUGUGAGUGGCUCUCCGUCUGAGCUGGCUUGUCUGAAGGCCGCGGCUGCUGAGCUGGCUCGUCUGAAGGCCCGUGACGACCUCUUGGAAGAGCUCGCCGCUGAAGGCAGCGCAGAGCUGAAAGCUGAGACCAACAUGCUGCUGAAGGAAUUUGCCCACUUGCUUCAAACUUACAAGAUGAAAGGCUGCAUCAGUUUCUAUGGACGUAGAGCGUUGCAAAUGGUUCCGAGCAACGAUUUCGACUUCGUAGUUGAUUUCAAUCACGUUCUUGAUGAAGGAUACAUUGACCUGGCAGUAAAGAUUGUGAAGGAAAACGAUGCUUGCCGUGGCAAUGCAUGGUUAUUAGGGACAGCAAUAAAUUUUCUCAGGACACCGCGUCUGCUGGAUAGGAAUGAACUGCAAUCCGUUUUCUUGGACUUUGAAAAUUUGCCCGUGUCCAUGAAGUCCUUCGCUCAGUAUGAUGCUUUAGACCUGGUUCAAGGAGAUGCUUCGCCCUUUGGACAGGAAAAUCAUCUGGUGACAGCCAGGUUUAUUGGCAGGCAGAUUUAUAUCAGCGCCGAGGAGCAUGUGCUUAAGCAGAAUCUUGCUGGAAAAACCUGGGGAGGGCAGUUUGAAGCAAAAGAUAUUUAUAUCAUUCUGUUCAGCCGCACAAGUAUCUUGUGCCUGAUCCGACCAAGUGGAGAAACCCUUGUUUGCUCUCCUGAAAAUAGGGUCUUGGACAUCAAAAAGCUGCACGAAAUCAUGUCUGUGAAGUAUGAACUUGCCGGACACUUCCCUCCGCACUUCAAAUGCCUGGAUGACGAUAUAUCUCUCUUGGACGCUACCACCAUUGAUGUGAGCUCAGUGGUGCAGUAUCUCCCUUAUCACGUUGCACUCAUGCCAUUUGCGGCAAACGAGUAUCUUACUGAGAAGCUGCACAAGGCUAUAGAAAGUGUCCGGAUUCCAGCCAACGAAUUCCGUGAUUAUAUCUCCGUGUUUGAGUCAGUGCCGGCUGGUAAUGUUGAUUGGAGGGACGACUACACCGAGUCAAAUUCACAGGAUGAGUUGCUAAAGGCAGUCUAUAAGCACGAUCCCAGAGCUAUCCAACAGAUUUUGGACAAGAGCAUUGGUCCAGUUCAGGAGGACACGAGCAACACUGAGGUGCAGAUCACAAGUGCCACUGUGCUCCAGGAGAACACGAGGUUCGCUGAGCUCCAAGAGAGCACAAGGCAGGACAGCUCAAGCUCCACGGGGGUAAGGUCUAGUGCAGUGACUGAGAAAACUAAGUUCAAGCGAAACAAGAAAGGAAAGCUAGCCUUCAAACGCCAUUUGGAUGUGCAUUUGCACAGCCACUUGGCUGCUAAAGCUGGUACAAGGCCGCUAAGUGGCAUGUUUCAGGCGGAGGCGUACUCAUCAAAAAACAACGAUGUUCUUGGAGAGAUAUUCACUGAUCUGUUCAGUGGUCCGUCAAUGAAGAUGAAGAAAUUCCUUCGGCCGAUCAUGGCACACUACCGUCACUUGAGAGAUAUGGAUGAUGAGUGA
This 1524-nucleotide ribosomal RNA is filed under the name Triticum aestivum (bread wheat). RNAcentral describes it as "partial small subunit ribosomal RNA". Lineage: Eukaryota; Viridiplantae; Streptophyta; Magnoliopsida; Poales; Poaceae. The record is from RNAcentral.